UAGUCUUCGGGGACUCUUAGCCUUUCACUUAACUCACCACAGAGUCCUUGUUCUCUCUUGCAGCCACUAAAUCUCAGGAUCUAGACCAGAAGAGACAUGCAAAUACUUCCACGAUGGAGCAAGCCUCAGUGGCUUUCUGGUAAAAUGGAUCUGUCCUCCUCCAUCCAGUGGAAGGAGUUCGAGGCCAAGGACCACAGAAAGAGGCUGGCAAAGCGGCCGAGGACACUGAUUUUGAUGUGAACGUCACACUGAAGCAGCUUCCUCUGAGGAGCCAGUUGCCUCAGUUACACAGAUUACUUACAACUCUCAGCUGGACAAGGGUAUUUUGAUGCUUUCUAAAACUGUCCUAGCCAUGGCCUUUGCUCAGUCGCCAAGUCUUCUUCCUGGCCAUUUGGUGUGCUACACAUGGUCAAUUUUAUGAACACGGAUGAGGCCAUCCAAGCUGGCUUUUUAUUGCCCUCCUAUUAAAACUCAGUGAUUUAGACUGAGGUUGUUUAACUUGAUGGACUUGUUAUAAAGAAGGCAAUAAUGGGCUUUGGUGAGAAGUACAAUAGGUCUAAUUUGGAUAAGGUGAUUGAGUAGAGGUUGGCCAGGCUUUGGGAGACAGGGGAGGAGAUGAGGAAGGGCCUGGCGUGCUAUGGCUCAACGGAGAGCUGGACACAACUGAAUGCCUGAACAGCAAUGAAUGAUUUAAUAGAGAAGAGGCCCUGAGCCUUAGGGCCAAAAGGGACCUUCAAGGCCAUCUAGUCCAUCCUCUCCUUUUUUGGAUGAUGAGCUCAGGGCCCCAACCAGUUAAAUGAUUUGCUCAAAUUAACAGAGGUGACAAGGGGUGGAUGAGGGACACAGGAGGUACUUAAUGUAUACUUGUUGACUAGACUGACUCUGCCUGUCCCCUAUAUUGGGAACCCUAGAGUCCCAAGGUUCUAGGGCGGCAGUUGGGAGGGGGAUGUGAUUAACUGGCAAAUAGGACAAUCUCACUGGAUCCUCCCCUGGCUUCUAGGAUACCCUAGCAGGGAAAGAAGAAAGACCCCCAAGAUGCCCCACCCAAUGCAGAAAAAGGGGUGGCAAGGGGUCCUGCAAGAUCUCAGGACGGAGAGCCAGAGAACUCAGAAGAUAUGGGAGAUCUCUAGAGCAGAAGGAAACCAGAAGAGAGAGGAUAUGCAACCCCUAAGCCUGGCCACUUCUCCAGGGACUGCUGCAAAUGGGAGUUGUGGCCCCUAAAGCAGAAGGAAUUUAAGGAAAAGGCCCUGCAAGCUGAGAGCAAGGGGCAGCCAUGGAGUGGAGGGUGCUGAGAUUGCUGGACUAAGACUAAAAUGAGGGGCAACAUUUAUGAUGAGGCCAGGAAAGAGAAGAAAAGUGGGGAAAUGCACUGGGCUCAAAGAUGUCAGACACUUGUGAAUUUGGAACCUCCUUAUAUUUUUAGCUGUUUAUACUACAACCAACCUAGCUGAAACUCUAUAGCAAAGAUGUGGAAAAUGAAGCAUCAGCACGCUAAAUUAGAGCUGACCAUCUUCAAGAGAGUUGCUUUCCUGUAUUUCACUUCCACAUUCAAAAUGUGAAGUUUAUUUUUAAAUCAAGCAUAUCAUCAAUAAAUUAGGAAAUACUGUAAA
Molecule: long non-coding RNA, 1610 nt
Organism: Monodelphis domestica (gray short-tailed opossum)
Lineage: Eukaryota; Metazoa; Chordata; Mammalia; Didelphimorphia; Didelphidae
Source: RefSeq, a predicted model, not a curated record